This 253-nucleotide ribosomal RNA is filed under the name uncultured bacterium. RNAcentral describes it as "partial 16S ribosomal RNA". It matches the Rfam family "Bacterial small subunit ribosomal RNA", at positions 524 to 776 of the family's 1533-position model. The record is from RNAcentral.
UACAGAGGUCUCGAGCGUUAGGCGGAAUCACUGGGCUUAAAGCGUGUGUAGGCGGAUCGUUAAGUGCCUUGUGAAAUCCCACGGCUCAACCGUGGAACUGCUUGGCAUACUAGCGGUCUUGAGCAACCUAGGGGCGAGCGGAACAAAUGGUGGAGCGGUGAAAUGCGUAGAUAUCAUUUGGAACGCCAAUGGUGAAAACAGCUCGCUGGGGGUUUGCUGACGCUGAGACACGAAAGCCAGGGGAGCAAACGGG